AGGGUUUCGACCCUCACGAACACUACUUGAUCUUAUCUGAGCUUGCCGUCCGGCGGCGCCGCGGCUGCCGGAGUCGCCUCUCCGGCAUUCGCGCCGCCACCGCUGUCCUCGUACGGUUGGCGGGAAGGUGGCGCGCUUUGUUCGGGGAAAGAGGCGGGUUUGGUAUCCGUGGCGCUCGCCGGCGGUGAGCGAUGACGACUGCCCGCGGUCGGAGCGCGUGCGAUGAUGGCCGCGCGGGUUCACCAAAACAACAAACAGAUCACAAUGUUUUGCGUUUUUUCUGCCAUUGUUUUAUUGAUGAUUUUUUUAUUCGGAGUUCUAUUCAUUUAGUUGUUCUCGUAUUAGUCAAUGUGCGUUGGGUUGUUAGUGGUUUCGUAGAUCCUGUUUGGCAAUAGUGGAUGUAAAAGCGCUUUUUGUUUGUGUAGAAUGUGUUAGGAUAGUAUACAAAUGUUUUGUAAUUGAACAUGUGCAUAGAUAUGUUAGCAUUGUACUUGUUGAGCUUACUUUGUAAGUUUGGGCAUAUCGAAUUUUGCUUAAUUAUCAUUGAAACCUUGUUUUCAUCCUAGUUUUGUAGUUUAGUUUUUAAAUAUGUCCAUAUUACAGUAUCACUCCACUUCAGUUCAAUGUCAUGUAUAUUAGCAUGCCAUGUUUUCGAUGAUGUUGUAGGUUUAUAUCAAUCAAUUAUUAGCUUAAAGAGGAUGAUAUACAGAAUUCUAUUCUGUGGACCAAACGGAACCUUGAUGGUUUGAGGACAGUCCCUUCAAUGAUAUACAAAUCAAAUAUUUUCUUGUGUCCUUGAGAAAUUUGGAAGACGCACUGUUAAAAUCCAUGUCUUUUUUGCUAUGCAUGGCUGAUGUGGACUCUAAUUUCUCCUCGGUUUUGAACUUUUGAUGCGGACUCUAAUUGCAAGAUCCUUUUGAAAAUCGUGGUUUUUCUUCCACAAUGUGGUUUUGACUAAAUAAACGUUCAAAGUUUAAAAAAAAAGCCCUCAUGACUUGACUUGUGCAUUUUUGUAUCAACCUGAAUCAGCUCAGCAUCUUUUCUUGGUUUGCAACAUUGCAUAAGUUUGUAGGGUUUUAGAAGCCGUGCAGAGCACUACAACAGUGCCUACAAUCCGUCUGUUGGAUGCACGGCCUUUAUGUGAUCAUUCUAAUGGAGUAAUGGCCUUCCAUUGCUAUAUCUGGAACAUAUAGAUAACAAGUCUUGUUUUGAGUGCAAAAACUGUCACUUUGAUGUGAUCUUUUGAAUUUGUACAAAUUUUAAUAGUGGGCAGGUUUAAGCAAGGAUGAAGCUGCUGCUGUGUAAGCAAAGGAGGGUAACUUCUGAAUAUGACUCUGAACGUUGGUGUGAAGUUGCAACAACGGGAAGAUGGCGAGUAUGUUGAAGAAAACUGAUGCAGUCAUGAAGAUCAUAUUUAAUCUUUUCUACUACCAGUUGUUGUCGAUGGCUUCUUCAUUCUUUGUUGCUGAUCUAUCGCUGUUUGUCACCGACUCGAUACUUCCCUUUUAGUUUUAGGUUGACUAAGGCUAGGUUUGUCACCGACUCGAUACUUCCCUUUUAGUUUUAGGUUGACUAAGGCUAGCUUAAGCUUGGGUAUUUUGUCUGUAUGAUCACCUGCUUUGCUUUCCCUGUUCCCAAAUGUACUCUGAAAAUAAGAACUAUGUUAUUUCUCUUCAUAUCAAAUGUAUAAAUGGUUACCCUGUUAAAAGAGAUUAAUGAACUGUCAUGUGGUUCUUAUUUU
Molecule: small RNA, 1741 nt
Filed under: Oryza sativa Japonica Group (Japanese rice)
Lineage: Eukaryota; Viridiplantae; Streptophyta; Magnoliopsida; Poales; Poaceae
Description: sRNA Os12g0124300
Source: RNAcentral